UGCCACCCCGGGCAGUGUCUGGGCCCUCAGCUCCCCCUCCCUCCACCUGCCCCUUCCACCUACCACUACUGGCCCACAGGAACCCAGCCCAACGGAGGCGACACGGAGCCCAGAGACAUGCGAGUCCGAGGGACAUUCCAUCUACUGCUUGUGUGCCUGAGCCCAGCACUGCUGUCUGCUGUACGGAUCAAUGGGGAUGGCCAGGAAGUCCUGUACCUGGCAGAAGGUGAUAAUGUGAGGCUGGGCUGCCCCUACAUCUUGGACCCUGAAGAUUAUGGUCCUAAUGCACUGGACAUUGAAUGGAUGCAGGUCAACUCGGAACCCUCAUCUAGAGAGAAUGUGUUCCUUAGUUACCAGGACAAGAGGAUCAACCAUGGCAACCUCCCCCAUUUGCAGCAGAGGGUCCGCUUCGCGGCUGCAGACCCCAGCCAGUAUGACGCGUCCAUCAACCUCAUGAACCUGCAGGUAUCUGACACAGCCACCUAUGAGUGCCGGGUGAAGAAGACCACCAUGGCUACCCGGAAGGUCAUUGUCACUGUCCAAGCACGCCCCGCGGUACCCGUGUGCUGGAGCGAAGGCCACAUGACAAAGGGCAACGAUGUGGUGCUGAAGUGCUUUGCCAACGGAGGCUCCCAGCCACUCUCCUACAAGUGGGCCAAGAUCAGCGGGAACAUCCACCCCUACCGAGCAGGGUCCUACCACUCCCAGCACAGCUAUCACUCUGAGCUCUCCUAUCACGAGUCUUUCCAUGGCUCCAUAAAUCAAGGCCUAAGCAAUGGGGACCUGGUGCUGAAGGACAUCUCUAAAGCAGACAACGGGCUGUAUCAGUGUACAGUGGCCAAUCACGUAGGCUACAGUGUGUGCGUGGUGGAGGUGAAGGUGUCAGACUCCAAGCGUGUGGGCAUGAUCAUCGGCGCCGUGCUGGGCUCCUUGCUCGUGCUAGCCUGCUUGGCCUUGGGCAUCUGGGGGCUCGUCAUCUGCUGCUGCGGGGGCCCCGGGUCUGGAGGCGCCCGCGGCGCCUUCGGCUACGGCAACGGCGGCGGGGUCGGCGGCGGGGCCUGCGGCGGCGACUUGGCUAGUGAGAUCAGAGAGGACGCCUUGGCGCCCGGGUACAAGGCCAGCGGGCGCGGCACCCGCGUCACCCAGCUCCUGGGGUACCCCACGCAGAACGUCAGCCGCUCCCUGCGUCGCAAGUACGCGCCCCCGCCCUGCGCCGGCCCCGAGGACGUGGCCCUGGCGCCCCGCACAGCCGCCUGCGAAGCGGGUCCCUCCCCGGUCUACGUCCAGGUCAAGAGCGCCGCGCCGGCCGAGGGCGCCGAGGGGCUGCAGCAGUGCAAAGACGGGCUCUUGGUGUCCUCCCUGUAACUCUUCCCAGGGAGGAGCUUGUCUGUGUCUGCUGUCCAUUUGUCCUGGCAAUGCUUUGGACAGUAGCCAGGCAGGUCCUGGGAAACAUCACCAGGUCAAGAGAUUCCUCGGCUGUUACCACCCUUUGUGUCCUUUGUGGCGAGAAGCAGAGACCCCAGAGCAAUGUAAACCAUUUUUAUAGAUCAGGUAUAGAAAUCUCAAACCAGUGACCAGCAAAGGGCAAAACUUCCCUGCAGUUAUCAAGAUGACAGUGGUGGCAGAGAUGCUAUUGAGCAUGCACCCUGGAGGUACUCAGAACAAGGCUGGAGAACAGGAAUAGCACAGAAAGAAAAGAAGACUGAUGGACAAAGGCCUGCUUCUGUGGUUAGAAAAGGGAAGGAAAUGAGCCCAAGAUGAGUUGAAUAGAGAAUACAGAUGCUCCGGAGCUACACUGAGAGAAGGGACACAGACUCUUUUGAGGGACUAAGAGAAAGGUCCAGAGCCACUUUGUUGAGGUUCAUCUCGCCCUAGGACCUUUAGCCAAUGGAGCUGCAGGUUUCUCCUCUUCUUGGACAUUAGCCAAGAGUCCUAAGGAAGGAGCCUAGAGUGUAGCUGUUCUACAGAUGCUGCAGAGAGACCCAAUGAUACCAUCUCUGUCCAUUCAACAUUGACCCAGAGACAUACUCAGAGUCAGAAGAUAUGGAAAAACUUACCACAUCUCCCAACACACGAAACUGCAAGAGAACAAAGUGAUUUUUAAAAAUUUAGUAGAAAGAAUUUUCACAUUGGGAAGAACAUUCAGACUGUCACUUCAACUGGUGUUUACAUCCAGCCCGCAAGCCACCCACCUGGAAACUGAGCCACUCAACUGUCGAACUACUCCCCCACAUAACCACCAAGCCACCCAACCAUUUACCCAUUCAACUAAUCAGUUUUUAUGCUGGACCCACCCUGCCCCCAUCCUCUGCCCUAUCAUGGUUCAAAUGUUGCACUUCGGACAGGUUUUUCCUGAGACUGCAAUCAAAAGAACUCUCUUCAAUCACUGUCACUGUGUCCUAUCAUCUUAAGAACACAUUUGAGUUUAUCCUAUUCAUUAAGUUGUCAAGAUGUUAUCACCUGUCUUCCUCUGUUUAGAAUUAGAAUAAGCAAGGAUUAUGCUUUUUAAAAAAUUAUUAUAUAUUUAUUUUAUUUAUAUAUUGUUUUGUACUGAAGAUUGAGCCCAGGUGCUUCACACUGAGCUGUGCCCCAUUCCUUUUUAAAUUCUGAGAUAGGCUUUUGCUAAUUUGUUUGGUUCAAACUUGUGAUCCUUCUGCUUCAACCUCCAAGAGUGCUGAAAUUACAGGUGUGCCCACCAUGCCUACCUUGAUUCUGUUUAUCUUACCCACUGCCAUGGUCCUUACAUGUAGAACCUAUGCAUGGAACACCAUCUGUGUUUCAUAAGCAUUUGUGGAGUAAGGGCACGCAUGUUUUCUUUCACAUUUAGUUGUGUGGGGCAGGGAUCAAAAGGUAGAAGACAUAGGACUAGACUCCUGUACCAGCAUGCCCAAGCACUCACUCCCAUACAUACAGUAAAGCCCAUAUAGCAAGAUCUGGCCCUAGUUUCUAUGGUUCAGUACAUCCACAGAGCUCUGGGGAAAUAGCAUAUGGCUGCGAUCAGAGUGUGGAGGCCAAGGUCCUCAGACAGAUAGUCAAGCAUACGGGAUGUAGGCAGCUCAGACAAAUGAGAGAACCACAAAUAAGUGACAUGCAUCACACACCAUGCUGGCACCUGCACACCCUGCAUCAAGGCUUUAGAGGAUCAUGAAUUGUCUCAGGGAUAAAUGACCCUAAAUCGAGGGGCACAGGUGAACAUGCAGUGGUGGAGCACAGUUUGUACUUCUGGUCCAGGGGAGGCGGUGACGACAGACUGAAAGAAGAAGUGCGUCAGUUCAGCCAGUCUUCCCACAAACUGAGCUGUGUCCUUCACUGGUGACAUACCGUAAAGGCUGCAGGGGACACUGAGAAACUCAGCCACGGCCCCAGAAGAGGUGGCUGAAACACCCUCUCAAAGCACGCAUUUGUCACUUUCAGUCACAUGCUGCCAUCUUUGCCGCCCACCGUAACUUCAGACAUCAAUGGGGCUUUCAGCUUGGUCUUCUACUCACCGCAGUUAUAGCUUCUCCAUUGUGAAGUUGACUGUGAGAGUCUAUUUCUUAUCAUCCCUCUACUUACCCGUUUUCUCCACCUUUCCUAUUUAUGAGCUUGUUGUAGCAGAAAACAGGCAAGGUUCAGAAGCAGAGGACCUGCACUGGACUCAUGAACCUUUCUAUGUGAACUUGAACACACUGUCUAGAUUCCAAGAGCUCCAAUUCCUCGUCCUGUCAUAUUAUUUUUAUAGGGCGACUGUGAAGGUUAUACUGCCCCGCUGACUGGAAAAGUGGCUGCUACAUUAACUGAAAGCGGAAAGGCCUGACCACAGGGUGACUGAGAACUCACUCUGUACUUAGGUCUCCACCACCUUUCCCUCCUCCCCAGAAAACGAUUUUGCGGCUACAAGGUGAGAAACAAACAAAGCUGAGGUACAGUGGCCUAUGCCAAGAGAGAAGGCGUCUAGAGACAUAGAGCCAUUUCAGGUUAGCUUAGAUCUCUAAGUCCCAAUGACUUGCCAUCCUAUGGUGCUGCAGCAUCUUGGAUUUGUAAUUGCAGAAUCACCCUUUGUGAUCGGACAGCAGCCCACUGGAGAUGUACAGAGUGGGAAGGCCCAGCAGUGUCACUUAUAGAGCCAGAAGAGUAGGUGAAAAUGUAAUAAAUUGCAUCACCAAACUGCAAAUUGUGGAGGCAGUAGCACCUUGAGUUCUGCACCAGUCAGUACCUUGGUGGGGAGAAGAGAGUCCAACGCCUGCCACAAUGAUAAAGUGCAUCAAGACAAGGCAGAUUGAGAUGAGAACAGGGUCUAGAAAAUAUUUCCUGUUAGAUUUGCUGAGGCAGUGGGAGGUUAUUUGUCUGAGAAAGCUGCACAAUAAUGGUCUUCAAUCAUUUGAUGGGCAAAACUUAAAAGAAGGCACAGACUUACUCUGAGUUACUUCCUUCCUGGGGCAGAAAUGAAACUAAUGCAUGAGAAUCAGUGGGUCCAAGGAGGGAGAUUUUAGCUCCGUAUGAAGCAGUUCCAAUGGUCCAACAUGCCCAGUUGAGCUCUCCCUUGGUAGAACACAUGGCUUGGCCAAGUGUGGCCGCCACAUUGCUGGGAGGAUUGUGUGUAGGCUACAUGCCACAGACACUGAGUAUGUGGGAUAUGGGCUCAGAAGACGAUGGAGGCUGGCUAAUACUUGGCUCACAAGAAAAGUAAAGACCAUCUCCCAAUUUAUUUAUUUAGUGUUUGAGCAUAAUCAAUAGGUUUAAUACCAACACUCUUAGCCUGUUGGAUCCCUGAGAGCCAAAAAGCAUCCUAUCCACAAUUGCUGUGACCAUGCCCUGCCAGGCAUUUAAAAUGAAUUAUUACUUUCUCAUUUUGCCUAACAAGGGUCCAGUUUCAUCUAAACUAGUGGUGGAGCAGAAGAGUGGAAAAAGCAAAGGGUUCAAUAUUUUGUGGAUUUGAAUUUGCCUCUCUGUUUAGUCCAGGGGUAGUUAUUUUUACAAGGUCGUGCAGCUUGCCCUUGGGAACCUUCCAUUGGAGUUUAUCCAGGCCCUGGACCAUUCUGACCAACAUGUGAGCAUCAGGUCUUGCCACUUGUUCAGUGCCCAUUUGUAGGAUGCACAUGGUAACAUCUUAAUGUGGGAAUGGGAGAGACACACAAGGGAACAGGCAUCUUCCUCACAGCCUUGAAUUCUUACAGUCUCUGCCCAGGAAGAGAUCAUACUGAGGAACGGUUUUGCUCUUCUGAUUCCAUGAAAACAAACAGCAAACAAAAAAGCAAACAAUUGAACCAACUUAAAAAAAAUAGAUCAACUCAGAAGUUGUCAACAGAAAUAAAUGUGCAUGCAUAUGGUGUCUUGUAGGUGUAGUGUGGUGACCCUGGCUGAGACUGAGCUGAGCCUAGGGGAGCUGAGAGACCUCCCCACUGCAACCCUUUACCACUGGACCAUCUUCUCGAGGAGUCCAUAUGAUUGGCUCGAAUGGGGAGAGAUGCAGAGAAGAGAGCAACAGAGAUAAGAGAGAACAGGUUCGACUCUGCGAACCAGCCCCAAGGACUAGUCAGAGCCCUAAUCCUCACCCUCCCAAAGGGGAGAGAAUGCAGCCCGAAGAGAAUGUUCAAUUUGAAAAAAGUUUUGUAUACUCAGUACCUAAGCCCACCGAUCAAUGAGAAGUGUGGCCAUUGUUAAAAGGUUCUAAGAAAACACUGAGUUUUCCCAAAAACAUGUUCCCACCUUCUGGUGCUGAACACAAUAUACAGAACUUCUGUCCCUAUCUCUCUGAUCUUUGAACCCCCCAGCAGCCUCUUUUCCCUUUAUAACUUUGCGUUGCCUUUUCAGUCGGCUCUAAUGAGUCUUUUAACCCGAUUUCAGUACAGUUGGGUAACAAGGAGGCCUCAGGAUGUGAUUUUCUGUUUUCCCAGUUUAUCUCUGACACAUGGAGAAGCUGUUCUGCUCAGAACCCAGGCCGAUGGGAUGGUAAACAGAAAGGGGUCCCCCGAGCCCUGUGCCUAUGGGCCCCAAAUAGGCACAGGUGCAUUUUUCUCAAGCACAAGUCACUAACUCAGUGGAAGUGGGACAGGAGAGAUCAGGAAUUCUGUGUCUGAGGAACCUUAGUGUCCCGGGAGGAGAUGCCCGUGACCAGUGACUUACCAAGGAGCAGCAGAGCCAUCCAGCGCAGCAUGGUGCUUGCCCAGGCGCCUGACAGGAGCUGCAAGCUGAGGUGAAGCUGUGGGGAGAGCACAUCGGCCUCAGGCCCGGGGUGAGUGGGUGGCCCCCUGACUGAGGCAUGUGUGUGGGUGUGCGUGCAUGCAUAUGUGUUUGCGUGUGUGCCUGUGGUGUUAUGGCAUGGUAGUCUAAAUAAAGGAAGUGGGGAAGAAAUUUGAAAAGCUCAAGUUAUUUCCCUGAGGUCAAAGUAUAUUAUAUACCUUUAUUUUAUUAAACACAAGACACAAAAGAGCCAGGCAAAUCACUUCUGACACUCUGUAACUUCCAAAACCCUUUGCCAAGGAGCCAGCAUAGGACAUGGCUAUGGGGCAUUCCUGUUAGAAAGAUCCAGAGACUUCCAGAAUAUGGUCUCAGUUUCUCUUGGCCUGGGAUAUAGCACAGCAUGAAGCUCAUGUACCCCAGCCCACCUUGAGAGAUCUGUGGUUCUCUGAGGCCCUCCUUGCUGUAUUAGGAUGUCUGAGAGGGCCCAUGGGUUCAACACUUGGUCUCCUGCUUGUGGUACUACUCGGACAUGGUGAGACCUUUGAAAGGUGGAGUCCGUGGGGAGGGGGGUCAGGUCUUCGGGAGCGUGUCCCAAAGGGAACUGUGGGACCUUGGUCUCUUCCUUUGCUUCCCAGAUGUCAUGAGGGGGCAGCUUUCUCCACUGAGUUCCCUACCAUCAUGUGCUGCCUCACUCGCCACAGGCCCUUGGUCCAUACAGGAACUUUGCAAAAUGACCUGGUCCAAAAUGAAUCCCUAUAUGACAUGGAUGGCAGAUGACCCAGUGGCUUUCUGAAAAUUAGUUGAACAGAAACAUGGAUGGUCAUUAAAAAAAUAUGUACAAGAGUGUUCAUAGCAGCAUUAUCUGUCAUAGAUACAAAAAGGAAACUGCCCAAGGGUCCCUCUCAGAAAAUGAAGUCACAUAUCUCCAUUAUCUCUGAAGACAGAACAUGCUUUUUUUUUUGGGUGGUACUACAGAUUGAAACCAGGGUCUUCACACUGAGCUACAUCCCAGGCCUGUUUACUUUUUUCUUAUUUUGAGGCAGGAUAUUGCUAAGUUUUUAAAUUGCCUAGAUAGGACUCAAACCUGUGAUCCUACUGUCUCAGUCUCCCAGAGUGCUGGAAUUACAGCCUUGCACCAGAACAUGCAAAUCUAAAGUGAAACAUAGUUUGAUAAAAUACUAGGAAGUACUUUAUGACCAUAAUGCUUUCUCUACAAGUCUUUAAAUCAGAUAGCCUGGGAAGAAUUUAACGUGCUGGUUACUGAAGCGGGCGUGAAGAAGGUGAGUGUUUUCUUUCCUGGAGUCUCUUACUCGCUGAGCUAAGGAAGCCGAUUUGAUACUACCAGGAGAUUCUUUGGUGUUUUGGUUGCUCUAGAUAAAGGUAAAGGUGGUGAAGAAGUAAGGUAGGAACAAUGUGGGCUGACAGGAUACUUUGGCAUGGGAACAGUCAGAGCGAGACUGGGCAAAGGUUAUGAGUGUGCCCCUCGUUGGAGUAGGGAGCUUAGCUCGGUGGGGUUUCAGCUGAAGGAAUGGUGAGACGGAGAGAGAACCAGGCUGUUUGCCAAACAAAGAGAGCAGCAACUUUUAUUGAUUUACUGAGACGGGCUAAAGUCCAAUAAGUUUCCUUUGGUCAAGCACAUGAUUCCAAAAGACAGUUUGUCUUGUACAAGACUUGGGCCACCAGGUGGUCAUGCUCACCUUGUCCUACAGGCUGUUGAAUCUUUGUGCAGUUGGCACCAUCAUCCUGCACAAGGCAUCCCGGCCUUGAGGUUCAGUUCGAGCCUUAUGAUAGGGUUGAAAGGAAUUCACGUGCUUGAGUGGCUAUUGCUAUUAAUGAAGCACAAAGAUGGGACUCAGGAAAAGAGAAAAAGGAGAAAGAAAAAGAAAAUGCAUGCAAAUCCAAUUGGGUAAUCUACAUGUGAAACUGUGUAUAAAAUUACAUCCAAAGAUUAAGACAGCAAAGGGAAUAAACACACUACGAAAAUGGAGACGCCCAGGUGUGUAUCCACGUUAGUCACCUAUGAGAUGUCCGUGGGCCCAAGACAGAAGUUCGUGUUCUCAACAGAAACAUCCUUCAGGUUCAUGAGAAGUAACCCAGAUAACUAUGAUCAUAAUAUGUCAGAGGUGUUAACUACACAGGAAAGCUAGUAUGAAACUAACUUCCAAAAUUAGUGAUCUUUAAGUCUGGUAAGAACCAGUGAAGCUAGAGAGUUUGUUUAGGGUUUUGCUCAGUAACAAUUCCCUCAUUUCGUGUAAGCUUUCUGCUUUGGUGGUUUUAUCAGGGUCUCAUGAUGGAACUGUUGAAAAGAUGACAACAGAAGAGAAACACACUGUGUUACAAAAGGUACUAGUUUACUGAGGCCAGGGGUUUAUUUUGUUGUCUCUUUUGUCUUACCACAGCAUCCUAACUAUCUCGGGAAUAAGAUAUCUUUUCUACUUACCUUGACAUCUCUAUAUUUUCCUGCCAACGGACACCCCGAUUUGAGAUGCCUCCAGUUUUGUGAAGUCACAGGUCCAGGGGGUGAGGUUGAGGCUCUGCUAGCUGCAGCUGAGGCAAAAGACAGAGGAAGGCAACCACAAAUGGCCUAGCUUGCAGACACCUCUGCUGGUUUGCACACACAGCUUCUGAAACUCCUGCUCUGGCAGUAUUGAUGUCACUGGGUUCUGGCAGCUGAGAGUGUGAACGGCGGUGAGACAUCACCCUCUUCCCCUGCAAGAUGUGAUGCCUAUGUGGCUUCAGAGGUGAGUGAAAGGCUGUUGGAGCUGACCUCGCUUCACACUGUUCCCUUGAGGAUGAAGUGACCUGGGCAGCAGGUUAAGAAUCUUCUGGGACCCAUGCCGACACUUAGCUGAGACUGAAAUGGAUUAGCAAAGGAACAAAAAUAGGGAAUCAAGGGGCUGUUGAGGAGGUGGGAUGAUGAUAGAGUAGGGAUCUUCACUUGGAAGAGGCUUGAAGCCCCCAGGUGACCUCAUUACUCAGGGUCCCUGUUAAGGCAGCAGCUAUCAGGAUCAGGGGCUAUUGAGGAAUGAGAAGGGUCAGCUCAAUGCUCAGGUAAGGGAAGCACAGGACAGCUGGAUAAGGAAAAGUUCUGGGCAUCGAGGCAGCAGGAUGGGCCAACUUCCUGGGCUUGAAUCCUCACUCUAAAUAGUAAUCUGAUUAGGGUACUUAGCUAGGUUUUUAAAACUUUCUAUGCUCCAGAGCCCUAAAAGAUUAUAUGUCUGGGCUGGGGAUUUAGCUCAGUGGCAAUAAUAUCUACCUGGCAAGCAUGAGGUUGUGAGUUCAAUCCUCAGUACCAAAAAAAAAAAAAAAAAAAAAAAAAAAAAAAAAAAAGAUUAUAUGUCUGUAUAUGUUUUCAUAUGUAUAUUUCAUAUUUCAUCAAAAAGAACAGUUUGUGCUUUCAUUGUUUGUUUGAUCAUUCUUUUCAUGCCUAUAUUUUGUAAUCUGAACAACUACUUUGAAGAUAACAAUGUGCAAUAUAUUAACCAGUAUUAAUCUCCUGUUAUUUUGUUUUGAAACUCUGUAUCAUCGUUUUUAUUUUUUUAAAUAAAAAUAACAGCAACAACAAAAAGGAUAAAUUAUUUACCUGCACGAUAGGGUUGUGAACAAGGUUAAAUGAGAUAAAAACACAGCACUGUAGGCAGCGCUGUCUUCUGGAACUCUCCACAAUGACAGAAACAUUCUCGGAGCACCCACUCAAGUAACUCCUCCUGGCUGCUGUGGCUCCUGAGCCCUUGACAUUGGCUAGCAAGAAUGAGGAACUGCAGUUUCGAUUACUUUUGUUUUAAUUAAUUUAGAUUAAUUAAUUGCACUACAUGGCCCAGAGACUGCCUUGGUUCUCACAGGCCUGGAGUCUUGCCAGGCCAGGAGGAAGUGCUUGAGAAAAGCUAAGCCACUGCCCUGGGAGCUGGGAAGCUGCCUCCCGGUCUGAACUUGGGUGGGAGAAGUUGUUCCUGUAGAAGAGGCACUCAGCGUACAGCCUGCUGGGCUUGGGGCCACAUCGCUUGCAGGAAGUAGAGAUCCAAGGAAAGCCCUGAGACCAUUGAUGAGUUUAGUUCAAAGGACAGAACAAAUUGCAAAAGCGUACCAAAAACCUAGCGUUUAGGACAGGAGCUGAAAGACCAGCAGUACCGUGAAGAUGGAGCUAGACGGGGAAGGUAGUUCUGGGCCUGGCCGGCAGGGGCAGGAGUCCUUGUGAAGCACCUGGCUAUCGCCCUCAUUCUCUUCCCUGCCCUUUCCUUUCCUUCUAGAAAGCGAUUGGAGAGUAACUUGUGUCAGGUCUACAGCGACCUCUUGUGGUUACAGGGGCAACAACUGCCCUCAGCAGGGACUCUUCAUAUGGGCCUCGAUGAGGCCAUUCAACCACCCAUCUACCCUUCUUCCCUCGAUCCAUCACUUCAUCCAUCUUUCCCCCGAUGAACUUUUCAUAAAACUUCUUCUCUAUGACAGCUCCAUCCUUGUCUCCAUGAGUUCUGGAAAAGACAGGCAUAUGCUAUCGUUUUUGUUUCUUGAGGCAUUUCCCUCAUGUCUCCACUAGUCUGUUGGUCACAGGGUAUUAUAUAUGCUUUAUUGUCUUUCUCUAGUCUUCAAAGGAAAGCGUAAAAUCUAAUUCAUCUUUGAAUAGCACAGCAUUAGAGUCAAGAUACAUCAAAGCCGAGUUGUCAGGAGUUCUGGAGUCAAAAAUUUAUGCGUUAUAAUCCUGGGUAUGUGGCUUACUAGGUGGGGUACCUUGGCCAAUGACUUAACUUUAAGCUUCAGAUUUUAAAUUUGUAACAUGGUAAUAAUUGGGUAAUAUCCUGUAAUACCCCAUAAUACACUUAAUAAUACCCAAUAAUACACCUAAUAGUGAAUACUCAUAUUCAAAUAAUGUUUGGCAUAUUGGAAUGCCCAAUUCACCAAGUAAUAAACUGGGUGAUACUCAUUCUUUAGUAUUAUGGAGAGGAUUAUGCUUUUGUAAGUGCAGCAUCUUGCAUGUCCGCUGCUCCACCUAACGUUAGAUUCUUUUAUACCUCAUGUUCUUACCCUAGCAAUGCUAUUCUACCAUCGUCUCUCUCAUGAAUUCAGCCGCUCCAUCUCAACUGGAUUUCCCCACGGGUGCUUCUGAAAGAUGCUCAAGUCUUCAUCUCAAACAAAUCAAACCAAGCCAGCAACCCUUCCCUUGAUUUCACCCCCGCUGCGAGGUUCUAUUAGUAGUCAGUCUACACACCUGUGUGCCACAAAGGUUGCAGAUGUUAUGUGGAUCUUCUCUGCCCUCAGAGAAGCUGGGUGGGGCCACACUUGAGCUGGGAGCAGCCUCACUCAGCGACCCAGUGUUUCACUGCAGGGUAAUCCUUAUGUGCCCUAAAGCAGGAUGUUUGGGAAGCACUGGACUCUGCUUGCUCCCCUCCUGCUUGUCUCCACCCACUCAGCUACAUGUUCAGCCUCCUUCUCAUCUCCAGCAUAGCCCUGGACAGGUCUAUCACACAGGCAUUCACACCUUCCUGUGUUACUGCUUUCCUUAAACAAAGCGACACAGCCCUCGCUGGCUUUCCUCCCGUCUCUUCUUCCCAUGUUACCCAGCAGUCACAACCUCCCUCCCCUGGAGGCUUUGAAGGAGUUCUGCAGAUCCUGGUCCAGGCCCUUCCUCCUAUUCUGUGUUCUCUCACUAAGCUUUCUCAUCUGUGCUGUGGGUUAAGUUACUACCUCUAAUCCAAUGAACCCCAAAUGUAUCUUCCAAGCCCAACCCAAAACCCUCAGUUUCAGACAUGGUGGUGGUGGUGGGAAUCUGAUUGUUGAGCUUAGAGCUCCUCAGGAAGAGCGCCUUAAACUCAGAACCUAAAGACGGAACCCAGCCCCUGCCUCCCAAUCUGCUCUUCUUCUGGUUCUUCCUGUGUGAGCGGGCAGCACCACUUACUCUGAUGUGCAAGUCAGAAAUCUGGCUGUCGUGACUCUAAUUAGCCCGUGUUUGUGAUUAGCCCAGUCGAAAUAUUCUCAGUGAUAUGAUCCCUUUGUCUGCACAUAUAUGGGAACUGUGUUUCUGCUGUUUAUUAUGUGCCCCCUGCUACCUUUCCCUGCUAGUCUGGCUCAAUCCUAGUGUGUCCUGGAUUUCAGUCUUCCUUGCAGAACUAUCCUGACCCUGUCUGGGCUAGCUGCACGAACAUGCCCUGCCUUAGUAUUUGACACAUUUCCCUGGCAUUAACCAGCCAACCGUCUCUUGCCUACAUGUUCCCUUCAGGACCACAAGCUUCCUGAGGGCAAGGGCUCUGUUCGUCUUGUUCUUUGGGUACUUUCAAUGCCUGGCAGAGGCUGUGUGUUCAAUGAGUAUGUAGGGUGGGACUGAAUUGAAGCGGAUCACCUUCUUUUUGUCCCAUUUACUCAAUGUAACCAUUUGAGUGAUGGUCACUCUCCUCUGUCCCCCCGCAUGCCCUCUUAAUCUCUCAUUCUCUCUUCACAAAUAAGCUGAUCACAGGGUGAGAUUUCUAUACAUAAAGGUUGUUGGUUGAUUCAGAGUUAGCCUUGUAUCUAUAUAAUUUGGUGCCUUUAUACUUUCCUUCGUGGCAGCAGGAUGUCAUUUUUUUCUGUGGAGGGAUUUUUUUUUUUAUUAAUCCAUGCAGUCCCCUUGAGCUACAGCUCCACGCUCCAUCUCUGUUUUCCCCAUUUUAAUUUACUCUUUUUUUUUUUUUUUUUGUCUUUUUCCUUUUUAUCGGUACCAGGGAUCGAACUCACGACUGCCUGCUUGCAAGGCAGGUGCUUAUGCCGCUGAGCUAAAUCCCCAGCCCUUCCCCAUUUUAAUUUUACAUGCACUCCUUACAUCUCUUCUUCACAUACCCUCCUAGGUAGCAUGUUAAUUUUUUUGUUUGGUGUGCUGCCCAUCCUUGACUGAGAGUCUAUGGUUACCGACACAGCUUCAGAAAUGUGAGAAUGGCUCCAAAGAGAGGCUGAAAACUGCUGGAGGCUCAUUCUUCCCCGGAGAUUGGGGAAGAAAAGCAUAUAUAAUUAAAGUGAUAAAUUGGAUUUUUUGGGUUCUCUGUUUACCACUGUCAAACAUAAUCUAUUUCAUGCAGUUAUACAGAAUGCAUAAAAUAGGUCAGAAUUAAUUUUCUUCAGUUUGCUUAUUUUCCCCUCCAGUUCCUCGGGUAGAUGUGGAACCCAGAUGGAAAUGGGAAGACUGUAAGCUUUGUGUGUUUAGAGGAGUUGGUGGUAAAGGGUUUAGUGCGCUGGCCCCUGGGAGCUGCACUCCCACAAGCAAGUAAACAAUGGAAGAGGUAAUGAGCGCCUGGGAAAGAGUAGCGUGUGGAGUCAGGCUGAGCAGCAGGAGAGUCCGGAGCAGAUCGCUGCUCUCCUGUCUGCUCUGCAAGUGCUCUGUCCUUCGCUCAUCCCUGCCACGCCUCCUGUCUCUGCCUCUCCCCCUGCUGAGUUUUCAUCUGCAUAUGGACAUGCACAAGUAUCAUCCCACCCAAACGAAUCCCUCUCCUAGGAACAGCCCAUCUUUCUCUUCCAUCAUGCUGAUGCUAACCUCCUCACCUGCUCUCCUGGCGCCCUAUUUGUGCCCCAGUCCCCCCUGGGCCCCCAUUCCACUCAACUGCUUCUGCCAGUCACAGAGCCUUCUGUGCUGCCAGCUCUGACAAGGGGGCGAUGCUCUGCCCUCCUCUUCCUUGGUGGCUCAGCAGCAUUUCCGACAGUUGAAGGAUGCCCCCUGAAACACAUUCCUUUCUUGGUGUUCCUCACAUUGCCCCGCCUUCUAUCUGGCUCAGGCUAAAGGCUGGAUACUCUUUCUUUCCUGACAUUGAAUGGAGGAGUGCUCAGAGUUUGGUCCUGGUUCCUUUACCCUGGUCAGCUUACACUGUCUGCGUAGUCCUGUGGCUUUAAAUAUCAUACUAGUGACACCCAGAUUGAUACUGCCCGACCUGACCCUAUUUGUGCCCUGGACUUCCGGCCCUAGUACAGUUGAUAGCAGCACUCCUCCCUCUGGGUGGCUCACAAACACCUCAGAUUUCACAUGGCUAAAAUAAAACUCUCCUUGCAAUCAACAGUCAUUUCAUUGUUCCUGUCCUUCUCUCUAUCAGCGAUUUAAAAAAAAAAGUAUUGGAGAUUUAAACCAGGGAGUCCUAAGAUACACCCUGCCCUCACUUAAAAAUGUUUUUACUCGGAGGCAAGUUCUCACUAAGCUGCCUCACCUGGCCUUGAAGCUGUGACGCUGCCGCCUCAGCCUCUGGAGCUUUCUCACCUCAUAGUUUUCUUCAACUCCCUCCUGCCCCAGUUGCUCAAACAGAAACCUCAGAGUCUCGCUGCCCAUCUAGUCUAUUACCAAAGUCUAUUGAUUCCACUCUAAAGCACAUCUCAGAUUUCCUUGUGUCCCCGCUUCCUGGAGACCCCCACAUCCUUCACCGACAUCCGUCACCCCAAGGCCCCUUUGGCUCUUACCCGCAUGCUAGGGUGUCCUUUCAGCUUUGCUAAGGCGGAGCGUCCUCUUUUCUCACUCGGCUUUCCUUGGACACGCUUCCUCAGUCUACCACAGUCACAUUCAUUCUUCCUAAAACCAACGAAUGAAUGUAGGAACAAAUAAAUAAUACACGAUGAAUUGAAGCACAUUAUUAAACAAUCAAGCCACUUCAGCAAGUACAUCUGGGUGGCUGUUACCCAGCAUUAAAAUUUGAUUUUCAAUUUCUUUGGUUCUAUUUGCAUCAGGUGUUUCUUAAAGAAAUACACUGCCCCAGCCUACGAAAGCCCCAGGGCCACUCCCCUAAUUCUAGUCUCCUCCUCCCCUUUCUGAGAAUAACCCCAUACCUUAUUUCACACCCUUUCCCCACGCGUGUGCAGCAGCGAUCCACAUCCCCGCCUUGCACAUUUCCUUAGCGUGGUCUGGGAGGUGGAUCUGGACCGGCAGAUGUGGCUUCCAUGGUCACGUUCACUGUGGCAUGGUGUCCGAUGUCCAACUCUACUUGUUCACCUGUGAUGGAGAACGGUGCCAACUGGUCUCCACUCUCCCCCCACGGAAUGACUCCACUCUUCCGGCCACCAGGGGCUGCCAGGCAGCCCCGCGGGACUCCGCGGGGCUCUCACUUGUGGGCUGCCCCCCCCCCCCCCCGCCCGCCGUGGUUGGACAUCAGGAUGCUAAAUGCGCAUAGAAUGCACAAAUGCCCCAAACCCCAGGGCCGCUGGGAGAUGGGGGGUGGUCUAAUCUUCCUGUCCUCUAACUCUUUUAUAAAAAUUGAACGCAGUGCAAAACAAAAAUUCCAUCUUGAACGAAAACUUAAAAAGGUCUUCCGUUGCUAAAAUGAACAUCUACAUAUAUGCUUAAAAUUUGAAAUACACAAAGCUAACAUUUUCCUUUCACAUAUCUAUUUGCUGUGGAUGUUUCCUUUAAGAUACAAAGCAGUUCUCACUGAUCUUUUCCCACCCUUCCCGCUGGGAGGCAGCUGAGAUCCUGAGUUUGGUGGGUGUCCAAACCAGUUAUUUUUAUAACGUGUAGCUCUCCACAAACAACUCAUAGUCCUGUCUGUUUUUAUUCUGUAUUUAAUAUCCUGCAAGUUUCUUUCCUACCUACACAAUGUUGUUUCCAAGACACAUCUAUAUUGAUGCUAAUAUCUCCAGUGCACUAUUUUCUUACUUUCUAAAAGUAUCUUUUUAGAUUGUUUUCAGUUUCUGGCUAUUUAAACAAUUGUGCAUGUAUAGUCCAUGAGGGUGGAAUUCUUUGUCUCUUGGUUGUGCUCAUUUCUUAUCCCCCCGAGUUUGGUCUGGCACAUUGUAGGUGCUCAGUACAUAUGUAUGGAAUAAAUGAAUAAAUGAACAACUUCACACGUCUCUAUGUUGCUCAAAUGCAGAAUUUGCCCAUAAAUAUUCACAUAUAUAACAUAUACAUUAUAGACAUGAAGUCUUUAUUCUCCACAGCUAUUGUGCUAACUACAAAUCCCCAGCACUUUGAUAAUUUUGCUUUCCCUUUACCUUUAGUAUUUUGAGAUUCGAUGUCUGUUCAGCACUGCUGUAUAUAAAAUCAUAUCUUAUCAUUGUUUUAAGUUGUGUUUGUCUAAUUCUGAUUUUCCUCACCUAAGAUUCCUCUGGAUUUCCUUGUGGCUUCCAGGUUAACAGAUGAACAGAAGUGGUCAGGGCACUCUAAGGACUCCUGCACAAUGCCUCACCUCUGAGGUGGUUCUGAGGGCCCCAGGUCUGAAGAACACAGUGUUACCCUCUCCUCCAGAUCCCACUUUGGGUUCUGAAGGCCCUUGUUGGGGGAUGGGGGCAGCUCAUGAGUGCCCAUGCUGGUCUGUUACUCUUUAGGUCUUCAACUGGAGAAUGUCAACCAGGAGAGCCCUAUGUUUGGGGACUUUGGUGUUUGCAGCUGCAUUGAUUCCUUCAGAGAUCCUGUGUGUAACUAAUGGGCAGGUUGUCUUUGGUGUCCCCCCCCCCCCCAUGCCUCCACUUACAGGGAGACACAGCACCUGGUCUGGUUGGCACCUGUGCACUUGAUGAGCUGACCACUAUUUGGAGAAAUCAAGUUUGAAGGUAAGGGGACAGAUGUAAUGGAGAGGGGGUGGAAGUGGGUAGGGAAGCUGAGGCAAAAGGCUUGGAUAAUCAGGAUACUCCCUGACCGCAGGACAACAGGGAGGGAUACUGCAACAUUGGACUGAGCCCAGCACCAGGGAUCAAGGCUCCGAGGACACUUGAAUCUGACCAACUGAGAUAUGGCAAUGGCCUGAUUUAAGAUGUGACACCAGUGAAUCAGACAGAACAGUGGGUGUGCAGAAGCCAGUACCAGCUGCCAUCUGAAAGACAGAUAUUUCUGGCAUGUAGGGAUGACACUCACUUGAGAUCCUUUCCCAUUUGGAAAGCAUUAAAAAAUCAUAACUUGCAAGCCCAGAGGGUGAGCACUCUGACUUAACAACCCUUUGACUUUCUUUUGCAAAGCAUUAAAGUCAUUAACUUCCAGCAAGAGGGAAAAGCAGGUUCUUACUUAAACUCUUAUCUUCUGGAAAGUCUUAAACCGGCAGCAGUGAGGCCUCGUUACUCUUUGACAAUGUUAAAUCGUAAAGCACCAUACUGCUGCUAAGUAAUGGGACCAUUCUGUCAGGAUGUAGCUUAAGAAAAAUUGGCCUUAGUGACAUGUCCUUUACUCAAAAACCUAGAGUGGUUUCACAGCUUGAUCAGAUAUGGUCCUUCUGCUUUGGCUUGAGUUCCUGCGGCCCUUCACUACCUACCAUGUGUUCUCUGCCGCCCACUGGGUGACAUUACUUCAUCUAUGCCAUCCAUCCCCCCGUCUUUCCCUCCCCUCACUGACACCCACUCAUCCUUCCCACUUCUUGCUGGACUCUGCUCCCAGCACAUACUUCUGAUAUUUUAAAUAUCACCAAACAUUUCUAUAGCUCUUUAGGAUGACCGGCCAUGCCAGCCAUGCCUCUUUGAAAGGUUCAACUUUCUCAGUUUCAUCAGACUCACUCCUCCUACAUCUUUAACACUAUAGCAUUGUUUAAAUAGUUAUGCACUGUGUAUUUUCCAGUUGUAUGCAUCCACUUGCAUUUACACUUAAUAGUGUAUUUGUGUCACAUAUUCCUCUACUGACUUAUCCAUCUAGUAGUUUAUUUUCUUACCUUUUUUUUUCAUUUUCCUGAAGACAACCAGGUAUGUGACAGCACAUCAGUUACUUUGUGUUUAAUUGAGCAUCCAUGUGCCAAAAGUUGUACGAGGUGAUAGAAGAAAGAGACAGAUCCCUCAGACUCUGGCAGGAGAGACAGAUACUAAAUAACUGAUGGAAUCAUCAUAGGCAGUCAAGGAUGAUGCUGGGGAAGAUGUGUGGAGAACUAAUGGAAAACUUUCUCUGAGGAAGUGAUAUGUAUAGUAUAGUAUAGUAGUCUCAAGACUACUAGGUGCUAGUAUGACCUGGGAUCUAGGCAAAAAACUAAGGAAGAAAGUAUGCCAGGCAAAGGGAGUAAUGAGUGCCCAGACUGUCACAUGGAGAGAAUGCACAGAAUCCAGCAUUGUGCAGUAAGGCUUGACUCAGUAGGCUGGGUUGCCCUGCACAAUGACAGCUCCCGACAUAUGACUUCUGAAUCCUUAGUAUAUCCUGCUCAAUAAAUAUCUAAGCUCUUGGGCCAGCCAGAUUGUUCAUGCUAACAACAUGGUCUGUGGGGAACACCUGAUUUUCUAUGCCCAGGAUGCUUUGAGCCAUGCUGUUUGAAUUUGAUUUCUGCUGGGGCUGGAGACUGAGUGGUUAAGGUCAGUCAGACACAUACUGGAUACUUACAUGACUGACCCUAAAUAAAAACUCUGGGCAGCAAGGUUCAGGGGCAUAUCCUUGACUGGCGGUAUUUUGUAUGUGUUGUCAUACACUGUUGCUAGAAUUGAGCACUACAUGAAACUUUGGGAGUGGAAAAGUGGAAGCUUGUGCCUCCCUUCUAGAAUCUUUCCUAUGUGUCUUUCUCCUUUCCAGAUUUUAGUUUGUAUUAUUUCAUUGCAGUAAACCUCACAUAUAAGACUCAAACAGCUUGUAUGAGUUCUAGGAGCUCUUUUUUGAAUUAUCCAAAUGACAGUGAUCUUGGGGACCCCAACACAGGUACGGGAGAGAAGAAAAAGGCUGUGGAGACAGGAGCAUCUGAAAUGAGGGAGGAGAUGAAAGAAUCGGAUUCCUUAGCUCCUUAUACGUCAUCAUCAAGAAUGGCAUGCUCUUGCCUCUCUGAUUGACCCCAGUGUAGCUACUUUAUAAAAUUCUACUGUGGUCCCAGCUAGAUUUCAUGCAGGGUACCUAAAGAAAAUAUGCAAAUCAAAUCAUUUUCUUGGGAUGGAGAAGUCCAUGGGCACACAAAACCUACUGGAGGAGACAGGCGGUGUAACUCAUGGAGUGGCUACCCUGAUUGUCAUUUUCCAUAGUGCCAUCUUGGAUUUGAGGAGAGUAUAUAUGAGUAAAGAAGAGAUGUUGUGUUUAUUGUAAAAGUUGAGAGAACCAUCCCAGAACUGUCUACCAUACUGAAGUGUUGUAUACUGAAACUUCAAACUGGAGUGACAUCCCUCAUUUGUUCCUUGGUCUCAUGCAUGGGGGUAGAAUAAGUCAAGGGAAAAACAGGAUGAGAUUGGUUCAAGCAACUUAAGUAACUUUACAAAGCAUCCAGUUGUCAAGGUUGCAAAUAAGUCAUCAGCUGGAGGCAUGGACAUGCACUGAGGUGGUGUGUGGGCGAGCAUGCUGCUUUCUUGAGAGCUUGCCUUGAAUGCAUAAUAGCUUGAGAAAGCUUUAAAUGUAAUGGAAGACGUGCUUAUAUAACUCACUUCUAAAUCAGCUGGGGACUACAUUUGUGAUGGUGUUGGAGAGUUGAGAAGCCAGUUGGGGAUGUGGAUGGUGCUGCUAGCUGGUUCAUUCCCCAAACAGAGCUGAGGAAGACUUGGGCAGCAUAUUCGGAAAGCCACGAAGUCAGAGGGCUCCAGUAAUUAUCCCAUGAGUUCAAAUGCCCACACUCUGGGGAACCCAAAAUGUUGUUAUAUAUUUUAUAAGCGUAAUCUCGUGGGGGAAGGCAGUGUAUUGUUAGCUCCAAGUCAGAAUGUUGCUUUACUCGGUGGCUUUGGGCAAGCAAUUUAAAAUCUCUCUGGGUCUCAGUUUGUUCAUUUGUGCAUUGGUUAUGGAAACGGUGCUUUGUCCAUAGGUUCUAUUUUUGAAGACUGAAUGAGGUAAUGUCUGUGAAGUACUCGGCCUACUGCCUGGCAUGCACUGAGGGGUCAAACAACAACAAAACCAGAAAGGGCAUUACGGAUUUUUAAAUAAAUCAUCAAAUGUUGUAAAAGGACCUUUUUUGGGGCUCCAUGCCAGUCACAUAUGCCUGAGGACUGUCCUGCUGAGUGAGGACAUCUGUGUGCUCUGAAUUAGGUAACAGUGGACAUCUUGGUUAGUUUUACUUUUCUAUUGUUGUUGAGACAAAAUACCUGAUGCCCAACAUGAAGGAAGGACAGGUUUAUUUCUUACAGUUCUUGGAGGUUUCAGUCCAUACUUAGCUGGCUUCAAGGUAGGAUGGCAUGGCAGGACAGCCAUUCAUGGCCACCACAAACUGCAAGAGCUAACAGAGCAAAAGAGGGGAAAGACAUGCCUUCUUUCUGCCCUUGCAUUGUAUGCUGGCUCCACCCCUGGGUGGGUAUAGCUCUCACAUCACCAAUCCCAGUGCUAGACAAUGAACCAAUCAUGAAUGCUAGAUUCAGCCACGUUGUCAUGGUUUAUGUCUGUGUCCCCCAGGCCUCAUGAGUUUGAAUUGUGCAUUUGUUCCUCCAAAAACUGAAAGAAAUAAACCAUUCCUUUCCCAACUUGGGCAUCAGGUUUUUGUCGCAGCGACGAGCAUAAAGUAACUAAGACAGAAUUUGGUUCCGAGGAGUGGGGUUGUUUGCUGUGAUUAUACCUGACCGUGUUUUUCGAGAGGCUUUGGAAAUGGCUUGUGGGCGGAGUUUGGAAAGGUUUGGACAUGUUGCCUGGAUGCAUAGAGCUGGAGCAGCUUAGGCUGUUCUAUAGAGGAGAUUCUGGUCAGAGCUCAGGAGACCAGAAGGCUGAUGAUACAAAGCCUCAUGGUAAAGACCAGGCUUGGGAGGUUUCUGCUGGGAUGAAGGACUGCAUUGGUCGUUGGACUCCACAUGAUGUGUGUUAUGGCUUGGCAGAAAGUUUGUCUGCAUUUUGCUCCUGCCCAGAGUCUUUGCCUGAGACUGACACAAAGGGCAAUGGACUGAUUAAUCUUAAAAAAGAAAUUAAAAAGCAAUCAAAUGUUGAAGUUGUGGCAUGGCUAUUGUUGGAGGCUUUCAGCCAGCUUUAUGUUUCAAAUCAAGAGCAAGGAGCCUGGCAGGAUAAUGUACAAUGCUGUGAGUUUGGCCAGAAGGAUAAUUCCAGGAAGGCUGUGGAUUGUAAAGACAGAGUUGAGAUUUUGAUUCCUGAGGAGAAACAGUGAGAUAAGAAAGAUGGCCCCAGGACAUCCCAGGAGGCAGGUCCCCACCCUGUGCAGCCUCACAGCAAAGGUGAAAAAAUGUGCUCAGAGGAAAAGCUGCAGAGCGCCAUGUUCCAGAAUGUCGACAGCGACCAUAUGAGGUUCCAGAAUGGCGGCAACAUAGAGAAGCUUUUUCUCACAAUCAGGUAAACAGAGCCCUGCGAUCCAGGCAACUGACCGCUACAGCCAAGAGAGAGAAAAGCCUGGCUACUGCUUCAGCUGGCAGCAGACCUUGGCGGCAUCCAUAAGGUGCUGAUUUUAGGUGCAAGGAAAAUGCACAAAUUCUGAGGGUAAGACAGCUUCCACCUCGAUUGCAAAGGGCCUGGCUGGCCAAGCAGUGUGCCCCUGAGAGGGCAAUUUGUGAAGAUGCAAGAGUGAAGCCUAAGGUGCAGUGGAGACCCCAGAAGUUUGGAAAAGCCAGGAACGUGGAUGAUCCAAGGAAAGCUGCAAAAAGCAAACAGAGGGGCUGGGGAUUUAGCUCAGCUGCAUAAGCGCCUGCCUUGCAAGCAGGCAGUCAUGAGUUUGAUCCCUGGUACCCAUAAAAAGGAAAAAGAUAAAAAAAAAAAGUAAGCAGAUAGGAUUUAAGAGAAAAGCUGCGGGAGUUGAAAUCACUGGAAGUGCUGUGGGAUGGAAUCACCUAAGCCUUUUGGAGCUUGCAACCAGAUUGCUUCAGAUGUUGAGCAUGGAACUCUAGGACUUAAUGUUUGUCCUGCUGGAUUUGGACUUGCUUUGUUUCCAAUGCUUUAUAUUCCCGUUUGUAACUUUUGGAAUGGUAAUGUUUAUCUUGUGUCUUGCAUUUCAGAAAUGUUUAACCUUGUUUCAUUUGUAAAGGGUUACAGUUAAGAGUUUGCCAUAGAUCUUGGAGGAGACUUGGGACUUGGACUACUCAGCAAUGCUGAAACUUAGGACUUUGGCAACUCUUGGAGGUGGACUAAAUAUCUUUUGUAUAAAGGAUGUACAUGAGUCCUGGGGGCCAGGGGUGGAAUGUCAUGGUUUAUGACUGUGUCCCCCAGGCUUCAUGAGUUUGAACUGUGCAUUUGUUAUUCAUUCAUUGUCUAGUGCUUGGAUUGAUGGUGUCAGUGCUCCACCCACAUAGGGGUGGAGCCAGGAUGUGAUGUAAUGGCAGGAAGAAGGUGUGUCUUGCUCUUUGGCGGUUCCAGCUUGCUGUUUGCAGCCACCAUGAACGGCAGCCCAGCCAUGCCCGCCUGCCUUGGAGCCAACUGAGUGUGUACUGAAACCUCCAAAAACUGAACAAAAUAAACCUUUCCUUUCCCAA
Cavia porcellus (domestic guinea pig) is the source of this 22353-nucleotide RNA transcript. It is a transcript of the gene named V-set and immunoglobulin domain containing 8, with no coding region annotated. The transcript has 10 exons. NCBI's taxonomy places the organism in Eukaryota, Metazoa, Chordata, Mammalia, Rodentia, Caviidae. The record is from RefSeq and is a predicted model, not a curated record.